GUGGGGAAUCUUGCGCAAUGGGCGAAAGCCUGACGCAGCCAUGCCGCGUGAAUGAUGAAGGUCUUAGGAUUGUAAAAUUCUUUCACCGGGGACGAUAAUGACGGUACCCGGAGAAGAAGCUCCGGCUAACUUCGUGCCAGCAGCCGCGGUAAUACGAAGGGGGCUAGCGUUGCUCGGAUUUACUGGGCGUAAAGGGCGCGUAGGCGGACAUUUAAGUCAGGGGUGAAAUCCCGGGGCUCAACCUCGGAACUGCCUUUGAUACUGGGUGUCUUGAGUAUGAGAGAGGUGUGUGGAACUCCGAGUGUAGAGGUGAAAUUCGUAGAUAUUCGGAAGAACACCAGUGGCGAAGGCGACACACUGGCUCAUUACUGACGCUGAGGCGCGAAAGCGUGGGGAGCAAACAGGAUUAGAUACCCUUGUAGUCC
Molecule: ribosomal RNA, 425 nt
Filed under: uncultured bacterium
Lineage: Bacteria
Description: partial 16S ribosomal RNA
Rfam family: Bacterial small subunit ribosomal RNA
Source: RNAcentral